UACAGCCACAUUCACGUCGUCCGUUUCAAGGAGGUUUCAACCCUAAUCUCGCAAUUGCAUCCCGACCCGUCUUCACGUGUUGUCGCCGUCGUGGUUCUUGCGCCAUCGCUGUGCCACUGCAGAGACCAAUCAAACGCGCAUCGCCACUCCCCGAUUCCAUUUAUAAUCCAACCCGUUUUGUCAAAAAGAAACUCAACCUUACUCAGCGCAAUCGCAUCCCAACCCCACGCUAGUUAUCGUUGUCGUCUUGCAUGCCCCGUCGUCGUGCCACCGAACAUCCCCCCUAAAUUCGCAACACCCUAAACAACCCCCUCUCGUGGAGCCAUAGUGUUCCACCUCCAUAUAUAGGAACAAGGUGUAGUUGUUGUCGCUGAAUGCGGUUCGAGAGUGUUGCGUCAAUGGAACCAUCAACUUGUGAAGUAUAACUAUUGCCGGAUCACACUGGAAUUCAACUAGAGAAAAUCCCUUACAUAAGAUUGCGAUUUGAUUCCUUGCAGCUGGCACAAGAGAUCCUUCAAAGGUUGGUCUAGACCACAUUCGAGGUCCUUCAAAGGUGGCAACGAAGGGUUAGCCGAGAUCGAAGAGGCUUGGAGCUAAACUGGACAGAUCGAUCAAUAAAUCUAUACAAAGAAAGAAGAAAAAUACACUCCCAGAAAAUGAUGUAACAGCCAUUUGGAAUAUAGCGGUUAAUUCUGCUGUUUGGGAGAAUGAAUCGUAGGAACAUGGCAGGUUCAUGUCAUUGUUAAACUCGGUUGGAAACAGUUAAAAGAGUUUUGUUUAGGGAUUUAUAAGAAGUCCUUUGGUUUUUGAAUUUUUAUUUUUCCUUUUUUUAACACAAUUCUUGUGGUAUAUGAUU
Arachis ipaensis is the source of this 856-nucleotide non-coding RNA. Lineage: Eukaryota; Viridiplantae; Streptophyta; Magnoliopsida; Fabales; Fabaceae. The record is from RefSeq and is a predicted model, not a curated record.